UACGGGGGGGGCAAGCGUUGUUCGGAAUUACUGGGCGUAAAGGGCUCGUAGGUGGCCAACUAAGUCAGACGUGAAAUCCCUCGGCUUAACCGGGGAACUGCGUCUGAUACUGGAUGGCUUGAGGUUGGGAGAGGGAUGCGGAAUUCCAGGUGUAGCGGUGAAAUGCGUAGAUAUCUGGAGGAACACCGGUGGCGAAGGCGGCAUCCUGGACCAAUUCCGACACUGAGGAGCGAAAGCCAGGGGAGCAAACGGG
This 253-nucleotide ribosomal RNA is filed under the name uncultured bacterium. RNAcentral's name for it is "partial 16S ribosomal RNA". It matches the Rfam family "Bacterial small subunit ribosomal RNA", at positions 524 to 776 of the family's 1533-position model. The record is from RNAcentral.